Molecule: non-coding RNA, 30 nt
Filed under: Homo sapiens (human)
Lineage: Eukaryota; Metazoa; Chordata; Mammalia; Primates; Hominidae
Source: RNAcentral
CCUCAGCCUGCUGUGCCUCUUCAUUGCCAG